UGUCUGGCCCAACACCCAAGCCUUUUUCUCAGAGCGGCAUUUCCCGAUCCUAGAUUGUUGGGGAGGCAUCUAUAUUUUCGAUAAAUAUCACAUUAAAUGACGUAAAUACCCUUAUAGCCUUUGGGAGGGGCAUCAUCAGGAUUAGGGUUUCGUGCUCUCUUAAAACCCUAACCUCUAUAAAUACCCAAAGACGGUCUUUUGUUCCCUCUUCCCCAACCUCACUAUAACGCAUUAAAGUGUUUACUGAAGCAAAUUGGUGAAGUUUCCAGGGAUUGAGAGCGAAGAUGAGAGCUAAGUGGAAGAAGAAGCGCAUGAGGAGGCUCAAGAGAAAACGCCGAAAGAUGAGGCAGAGAUCUAAGUAAAAAGGAGUGGAGUGACGGGAUGCAAAGAUGGCUCGUCUUACCUAUUGCCUCCCUUCUUUUGUCACCGUCAUGUUUUGAAGGAAGGCUAAUAGGGUAGCUGAGGGCUGAGUCAUCUUGGUUUCUAUUCUCUUCUCUGUUUUGCCGUCUUAGUUUUAGACUAAAACUUACUAGGCUACUACUUUUGGUGGUUCGUUCAUUUAGUAAGAUGUUUAUGAUAAUCUGGUUCUUUCAACUUCUUCAAUGGAAAUUCUCUUUUGAGACUUGUUUUUUUCA
Long non-coding RNA from Macadamia integrifolia, 635 nucleotides. RefSeq lists it as uncharacterized. The record is from RefSeq and is a predicted model, not a curated record. The transcript has 2 exons. Lineage: Eukaryota; Viridiplantae; Streptophyta; Magnoliopsida; Proteales; Proteaceae.